GGUGCUAUAGUGUAGUGGUUAUCACUCAGGAUUUUGAAGUUCUUCAUGCUAUUUCAUGGAAACAUGGGAUCGAACGAUGUACGGAAUUCCUGAGACCCAGGUUCGAUCCCUGGUAGCACCU
This 121-nucleotide transfer RNA is filed under the name Agrocybe pediades. Its description in RNAcentral is "tRNA-Gln". It matches the Rfam family "tRNA". From Rfam's summary of the family: Transfer RNA (tRNA) molecules are approximately 80 nucleotides in length. Lineage: Eukaryota; Fungi; Basidiomycota; Agaricomycetes; Agaricales; Agrocybaceae. The record is from RNAcentral.